AUUGAACGCUGGCGGCAGGCCUAACACAUGCAAGUCGGGCGGAUGAAGGGAGCUUGCUCCUGGAUUCAGCGGCGGACGGGUGAGUAAUGCCUAGGAAUCUGCCUGGUAGUGGGGGAUAACGUCCGGAAACGGGCGCUAAUACCGCAUACGUCCUGAGGGAGAAAGUGGGGGAUCUUCGGACCUCACGCUAUCAGAUGAGCCUAGGUCGGAUUAGCUAGUUGGUGGGGUAAAGGCCUACCAAGGCGACGAUCCGUAACUGGUCUGAGAGGAUGGUCAGUCACACUGGAACUGAGACACGGUCCAGACUCCUACGGGAGGCAGCAGUGGGGAAUAUUGGACAAUGGGCGAAAGCCUGAUCCAGCCAUGCCGCGUGUGUGAAGAAGGUCUUCGGAUUGUAAAGCACUUUAAGUUGGGAGGAAGGGCAGUAAGUUAAUACCUUGCUGUUUUGACGUUACCAACAGAAUAAGCACCGGCUAACUUCGUG
RNAcentral lists this ribosomal RNA (484 nucleotides) under uncultured bacterium. RNAcentral describes it as "partial 16S ribosomal RNA". It matches the Rfam family "Bacterial small subunit ribosomal RNA", at positions 30 to 507 of the family's 1533-position model. The record is from RNAcentral.